UUCACAAAAUCAGACUUGCCCUGCACAUAUCAUCAGGUAAGGAUGCAUUACUCCAAUAUUGAAAAAACAGCUUUUCGAACUCAUCACGGGCACUUCUUGGAAUUUGAGGUGAUGUCUUUUGAUUUGACUAAUGCUCCUUCAACCUUCCAAACCUUAAUGGUCCUCAACCUUACAAGCCUUACUCGCAUAAGUGAAAUGUAUCUGCAAUAUUUUACUAAUGGUUGUCCUAUGCGAUGGGUUGAUUGGGUUUAAUGGGAUGAAUAUUGUUACAACACCAGCUUUCACACUUCUUUACGUUGCCCUCCUUUCAAACUAGUAUAUGGUCAUCCUCCACCACAGGAAUUAUCUUCUUAUGCAGAAGAUGCUAAACUACAAGCUGUUGAUUAUGUGCCAACGGAUCGUGCUCAGGUUUUCAAUGAUUUGCGGGAACAUUUGAUACAAGCACAGCAAACAAUGAAAUCUACGCAAGAUGCUAAUCAUCAUGAAAAUCUGUUUAAUGUUGGUGAUUUGGUGCUUCUAAAACUUCAGCCCCAUAGACAACUUUCAUUGGCUGGGAGAUGACAACGGAAGCUAGCUCCCAAUUUCUAUGGGCCUUUUCGUAUUUCCACCAGUAUUAGUCCAGUGGCUUAUAAAUUAGAAUUAACCCCUUAUUCCAAGAUACAGCCAGCUUUUCAUGUAUCUUGUUUGAAGAAAUUUCAUGGUCAACUGGAACUUGUGGAGCCCCAAAUUCCUCCAGUGGAACAGCUUGCUCAUCCUCCAUUUUUGCAAGCUAUGUUAGGAGCAAGAAUGCAUAACAACAGCAAUAAACUACUGGUUCACUGGGAAGGCUUAUCUCCAGCUGAAGCUUGUUGGGAAGACAUUGAUAGUUUCGGUUAGCUCAAGCAAGCUAGCUUUAGAAAGGGCUAGAUCAAACUACCAAAAAUUGGGAAGUGAAAGUUUUUGAGAGACAUAAUAAGGCCAAGCAAGCUUUAGAAAGGGCUACAAGUCAGUUAGAUUGCUACAAAAGUCAAGGAAUUUUCUUACAUAAUAAGUUAGUCCAAGUAAAACAAUAUUAUGUAUUCCUAGUCAAAAUAGGAAUAUAUAAGGAUUCCUAUCUAAAUAGGAAUAUAGUUAGUAAUUCCUAUUUCUAUUCUAAUUAAAAGGAAUAAAACAUUCAGCCUAUGGAUGAAAUUAUGAGAAUUAUUUUUUACCAAAAGGCUCAAGUCCUUACAAUUCAAAGAUUCAGGGUUCUCUCUAAAGAGCCCUAACUUAUUUCACUGUAAGUGGUUAAAGAACAAAAGCUCUCAAUCCUUUAUUCGAUCCACUAGUCCUUAGACCCAUAACUCAAUCUCAGACUCAGGACCAUAUCACAUGCAUCAAUACAAGUUAUCCAAACAAGUAAACACCUACAGAAGGCAAAAGAUUUUGCUCUCAAGAGAAAAAGAUAGCAUUACAAAUUACAAAAGAAGGGAUCUUACCAAUUCACCAUUGCAAUAUACU
Molecule: unclassified non-coding RNA, 1479 nt
Filed under: Hevea brasiliensis (rubber tree)
Lineage: Eukaryota; Viridiplantae; Streptophyta; Magnoliopsida; Malpighiales; Euphorbiaceae
Source: RNAcentral